UGGAAGUAAAAAAUCGUAACAAGGUUUCCGUAGGUGAACCUGCGGAAGGAUCAUUACCUUUCAAUGCAGAAGAGUUGAGAUGGUUGAGUAUCUCGCCUCUCAAUUCUCGCUGUAUUUUACCCUUGUUUUUCUCAUACUAUUAUUUCCUCGGCAGGCUCGCCUGCCGGGUGAAACAACUUCAAACCUGUUUAAUUUUCAAUCAGCGUCUGAACAAAUUAAUAAUUACAACUUUCAACAACGGAUCUCUUGGUUCUGGCAUCGAUGAAGAACGCAGCGAAAUGCGAUAAGUAGUGUGAAUUGCAGAAUUCAGUGAAUCAUCGAAUCUUUGAACGCACAUUGCGCCCCUUGGUAUUCCAUGGGGCAUGCCUGUUCGAGCGUCAUUUGUACCUUCAAGCUCUGCUUGGUGUUGGGUGUUUGUCCUUGCUCUAGUGGCGGGACUCGCCUCAAAGUAAUUGGCAGCCAGUGUUUUGGUUUUGAAGCGCAGCACAAGUCGCGAUUCAAGUCUAUACGCUAGUUUCCACAAGUCUUUUAUCACUUUUGACCUCGGAUCAGGUAGGGAUACCCGCUGAACUUAAGCAUAUCAAUAA
This 587-nucleotide unclassified non-coding RNA is filed under the name Paraphoma radicina. Its description in RNAcentral is "sequence contains ITS1, 5.8S rRNA gene and ITS2". The stretch from base 227 to 380 matches the Rfam family "5.8S ribosomal RNA". Lineage: Eukaryota; Fungi; Ascomycota; Dothideomycetes; Pleosporales; Phaeosphaeriaceae. The record is from RNAcentral.